RNAcentral lists this ribosomal RNA (247 nucleotides) under uncultured bacterium. RNAcentral describes it as "partial 16S ribosomal RNA". It matches the Rfam family "Bacterial small subunit ribosomal RNA", at positions 523 to 769 of the family's 1533-position model. The record is from RNAcentral.
AUACGUAGGUGGCGAGCGUUGUCCGGAAUUAUUGGGCGUAAAGGAUGCGUAGGUGGAUAUUUAAGUGGGAUGUGAAAUCCCCGAGCUCAACCCGGGAACUGCAUUCCAUACUGGAUAUCUAGAGUGCAGGAGAGGAAAGCGGAAUUCCUAGUGUAGCGGUGAAAUGCGUAGAUAUUAGGGGGAACACCAGUGGCGAAGGCGGCUUUCUGGACUGUAACUGACACUGAGGCAUGAAAGCGUGGGUAGC